GGCGGGUAGCGGGAAUCGAACCCGCAUCAUUAGCUUGGUUUUACCACUAAACUAUACCCGC
This 61-nucleotide transfer RNA is filed under the name Chionoloma orthodontum. Its description in RNAcentral is "tRNA-Gly". The record is from RNAcentral. Lineage: Eukaryota; Viridiplantae; Streptophyta; Bryopsida; Pottiales; Pottiaceae.